Molecule: ribosomal RNA, 477 nt
Filed under: uncultured crenarchaeote
Lineage: Archaea; Thermoproteati; Thermoproteota
Description: bacterial SSU rRNA
Rfam family: Archaeal small subunit ribosomal RNA
Source: RNAcentral
UGGACGGGGAUAACCUCGGGAAACUGAGACCCUUCCCGAUAGAUCAUCAUGCCUGGAAUGGCCGAUGGUUGAAAUGAUUUAUCGCCAUAGGAUGGGACUGCGAUCUAUCAGCUUGUUGGUGAGGUAAUGGCCCACCAAGGCUAUAACAGAUACGGGCUCUGAGAGGAGAAGCCCGGAGAUGGGUACUGAGACACGGACCCAGGCCCUAUGGGGCGCAGCAGGCGAGAAAACUUUGCAAUGUGCGAAAGCACGACAAGGUUAAUCCGAGUGGUUCCUGCUAAAGGAACCUUUUGCCGGUCCUAAAAACACCGGUGAAUAAGGGGUGGGCAAGUUCUGGUGUCAGCCGCCGCGGUAAAACCAGCGCCUCAAGUGGUCAGGAGGAUUAUUGGGCCUAAAGCAUCCGUAGCCGGCUGUGUAAGUUUUCGGUUAAAUCCAUGCGCUCAACGUAUGGGCUGCCGGGAAUACUGCACAGCUAGG